Molecule: ribosomal RNA, 812 nt
Filed under: Flavobacterium sp. 01xTSA12B_F01
Lineage: Bacteria; Pseudomonadati; Bacteroidota; Flavobacteriia; Flavobacteriales; Flavobacteriaceae
Description: bacterial SSU rRNA
Rfam family: Bacterial small subunit ribosomal RNA
Source: RNAcentral
AGUCGAGGGGUAGAAGUCUUCGGACUUUGAGACCGGCGCACGGGUGCGUAACGCGUAUGCAAUCUACCUUUUACAGAGGGAUAGCCCAGAGAAAUUUGGAUUAAUACCUCAUAGUAUAUAGACCUGGCAUCGGGAUUAUAUUAAAGUCACAACGGUAAAAGAUGAGCAUGCGUCCCAUUAGCUAGUUGGUAAGGUAACGGCUUACCAAGGCUACGAUGGGUAGGGGUCCUGAGAGGGAGAUCCCCCACACUGGUACUGAGACACGGACCAGACUCCUACGGGAGGCAGCAGUGAGGAAUAUUGGACAAUGGGCGCAAGCCUGAUCCAGCCAUGCCGCGUGCAGGAUGACGGUCCUAUGGAUUGUAAACUGCUUUUAUACGAGAAGAAACACUGAUUCGUGAAUCAGCUUGACGGUAUCGUAAGAAUAAGGAUCGGCUAACUCCGUGCCAGCAGCCGCGGUAAUACGGAGGAUCCAAGCGUUAUCCGGAAUCAUUGGGUUUAAAGGGUCCGUAGGCGGUUUAAUAAGUCAGUGGUGAAAGCCCAUCGCUCAACGGUGGAACGGCCAUUGAUACUGUUAGACUUGAAUUAUUAGGAAGUAACUAGAAUAUGUAGUGUAGCGGUGAAAUGCUUAGAGAUUACAUGGAAUACCAAUUGCGAAGGCAGGUUACUACUAAUGGAUUGACGCUGAUGGACGAAAGCGUGGGUAGCGAACAGGAUUAGAUACCCUGGUAGUCCACGCCGUAAACGAUGGAUACUAGCUGUUGGAAGCAAUUUCAGUGGCUAAGCGAAAGUGAUAAGUAUCCCACCUGGGG